This 864-nucleotide ribosomal RNA is filed under the name marine metagenome. RNAcentral describes it as "bacterial SSU rRNA". It matches the Rfam family "Bacterial small subunit ribosomal RNA", at positions 8 to 900 of the family's 1533-position model. The record is from RNAcentral.
AGAGUUUGAUCCUGGCUCAGGAUGAACGCUGGCGGUAUGCCUAACACAUGCAAGUCGAACGAAAGUUUUUAACUUUAGUGGCGAACGGGUGCGUAACACGUGAGAAUCUGCCCUUGGGAGGAGGAUGUUGUUUAUUUUAACAUAACACUCCAUAUGUCGAGAGAUAAAAUAUUUAUUGCCUAAGGAUGAGCUCACGCCUGAUUAGCUAGUUGGUGAGGUAAUAGCUCACCAAGGCCACGAUCAGUAGCUGGUUUGAGAGAAUGAUCAGCCACACUGGGACUGAGACACGGCCCAGACUCCUCUAGGAGGCAGCAGUGAGGAAUCUUCCGCAAUGGGCGAAAGCCUGACGGAGCAAUACCGCGUGAAGGAUGAAGGAUUUUGGUCUGUAAACUUCUUUUUUCAAGAAAGAAAUUUUGACGGUACUUGAAGAAUAAGCAUCGGCUAACUCCGUGCCAGCAGCCGCGGUAAUACGGGGGAUGCAAGCGUUAUCCGGAAUCAUUGGGUGUAAAGCGCCUGUAGGUUGUUUGAUAAGUCUGUUGUUAAAGCCUAGGGCUUAACCCUAGAAAAGCGAUGGAAACUACCAGACUAGAGUAUGGAAGGGGUAGAGGGAAUUUCUAGUGUAGCGGUGAAAUGCGUAGAUACUAGAAAGAACACCAGAAGCGAAAGCGCUCUACUGGGCCAGUACUGACACUCAGAGGCGAAAGCUAGGGUAGCAAAAGGGAUAGAUACCCCUGUAGUCCUAGCCGUAAACGAUGGAUACUAGAUGUUGUGGGUUACUUGUAACAGAUGUUGCAGAUUAACAUGCAGUGACGAAGCUAACGCGUUAAGUAUCCCACCUGGGGAGUACGCUCGCAAGGGUGAAAC